This 242-nucleotide ribosomal RNA is filed under the name uncultured bacterium. RNAcentral describes it as "partial 16S ribosomal RNA". It matches the Rfam family "Bacterial small subunit ribosomal RNA", at positions 103 to 334 of the family's 1533-position model. The record is from RNAcentral.
UACAGUGGCGACCCGGGUGAGUAACACGUGACUACCUAACCCCUUGAGUGGGGGAUAACCUCGGGAAACCGAGGCUAAUACCGCAUAAAAUCGUCGUUAAUAGCGACGAUCAAAGGAGCAAUUCGCUUUUGGAGGGGGUCGCGGCUGAUUAGCUAGUUGGUGGGGUAAUGGCCCACCAAGGCGAAGAUCGGUAUCCGGCCUGAGAGGGCGCACGGACACACUGGAACUGAAACACGGUCCAG